This 465-nucleotide ribosomal RNA is filed under the name uncultured bacterium. Its description in RNAcentral is "partial 16S ribosomal RNA". It matches the Rfam family "Bacterial small subunit ribosomal RNA", at positions 28 to 507 of the family's 1533-position model. The record is from RNAcentral.
GACGAACGCUGGCGGCGUGCUUAACACAUGCAAGUCGAGCGAGGCCCCUCCUUCGGGAGGGUGUCCUAGCGGCGAACGGGUGAGUAACACGUGGGCAACCUGCCCUCAGCUCUGGGAUAACUCCGGGAAACCGGGGCUAAUACCGGAUACGACCUCCACGGGCAUCUGCGGAGGUGGAAAGUUUUUCGGCUGAGGAUGGGCCCGCGGCCUAUCAGCUAGUUGGUGGGGUAGUGGCCCACCAAGGCGACGACGGGUAGCCGGCCUGAGAGGGCGACCGGCCAGAUGGGGAGUGAGAGGAGGCCCAGACGGCAAGGGGAGGCAGAAGGGGGGAAUGGGGCGCAAGGGGCGGAAGGGGGAUGAAGCAACUCCGAGGGGGGGAUGAAGGACGUUGGGGUGAAAAACGAAUGCGCCAGGGACGAACCGUGAGUGACGGGAAGGGGUAAAGAAGCAACGGCUAACUACGUG